RNAcentral lists this unclassified non-coding RNA (223 nucleotides) under fungal sp. Its description in RNAcentral is "partial internal transcribed spacer region". The stretch from base 1 to 46 matches the Rfam family "Eukaryotic small subunit ribosomal RNA", at positions 1786 to 1831 of the family's 1831-position model. Lineage: Eukaryota; Fungi. The record is from RNAcentral.
AAGUCGUAACAAGGUUUCCGUAGGUGAACCUGCGGAAGGAUCAUUAAUAAUUUUUUUCAUCUAAUGAUGAAUAAAAAAUUAACCUUGUGUGCAAACAUUGCUUUGAAAGGAAGAAGGUGAAUACCUUCAUCCUAAAAACAAAAACACAUCAUCAAACUUUUAUAUAAAAACAAAAUAUAUUUAUAAUAAAAUACAACUUUCAACAACGGAUCUCUUGGCUCUC